AGCAGCCGCGGUAAUUCCAGCUCCAAUAGCGUAUAUUAAAGUUGUUGCAGUUAAAAAGCUCGUAGUUGAAUUUCGGGGUUCUACCGUUGGUCGGGCUUUGUCUGUACUGGCGUGUAGAAUUUCUACCUUCUGGGGAACCAUCAUGUUAUUAAUUUAACGUGGUGGGAAACCAGGACCUUUACCUUGAAAAAAUUAGAGUGUUCAAAGCAGGCUUAUGUCUGAAUACAUUAGCAUGGAAUAAUAAAAUAGGACGGUGGUCCUGUUUUGUUGGUUUCUGAAUCACCGUAAUGAUUAAUAGGGAUAGUUGGGGGCAUUAGUAUUCAAUUGUCAGAGGUGAAAUUCUUGGAUCUAU
Molecule: ribosomal RNA, 352 nt
Filed under: uncultured Racocetra
Lineage: Eukaryota; Fungi; Glomeromycota; Glomeromycetes; Diversisporales; Gigasporaceae
Description: SSU rRNA
Rfam family: Eukaryotic small subunit ribosomal RNA
Source: RNAcentral